AAAUCCGGCAUAAAUCCUGGCGGUCUAAAUGUUCAGUAUAUUUACAAAUUCGAUCUAUUUUCUGUUCAGUAGACUUUGAUAGCUUAAACGAAAGUUUAUAACGAUGAUUUUCUCUGCAAAAACUGUACUUCCGAAAUUCGUCAGCUUCUGAAUUUGAAAACCAAUCUGAAAAAAAAAGGAACAUUUGAGUGUAUGGUUAUUGCAUGGUUCUAUAUAUAUUCUAUAUAUACUGCCAUUGUGCACACGCAUAACAAGUGCAGCAACGCAACAGUUUAGACAGGGUCAUGAGGCAGGAUGUGUACAAGAAAAGCU
Paramuricea clavata is the source of this 312-nucleotide non-coding RNA. The record is from the annotation of a GenBank genome assembly. NCBI's taxonomy places the organism in Eukaryota, Metazoa, Cnidaria, Anthozoa, Malacalcyonacea, Plexauridae.